Molecule: ribosomal RNA, 468 nt
Filed under: uncultured bacterium
Lineage: Bacteria
Description: partial 16S ribosomal RNA
Rfam family: Bacterial small subunit ribosomal RNA
Source: RNAcentral
GACGAACGCUGGCGGCGUGCUUAACACAUGCAAGUCGAACGGAAAGGCCGUGCUUGUGUGGUUUGCUCGAGUUGCGAACUGGUGAGUAACACGUGGGUAACCUACCCUUGACUUUGGGUUAACUUUAGGUAACUGGGGCUAAUACCGGAUAGGAGCCCCUGCUUCAGGGGGGGGGGUGGAAAGUUUCGGCGGUUGGGGAUGGACUGGCGGCGUAUCAGACUGUUGGUGGGGUAGUGGCUUACCAAGGCUUGGACGGGUAGCCGGCCUGAGUGGGUGACCGGCCUCAUUGGGAGUGAGAUCCGGCCCAGACUACAUCGGGAGGCAGCAGUGGGGAAGAUUGAACAAUGGGCGGAAGCCUGAGGCAGCCACGCCGCGUGCGGGAUGGAGGCCUUCGGGUUGUAAACCGCUUUCGCCGGUGACGAAGCGUGUGUGACGGUAAUGGGUAAAGAAGCACCGGCUAACUACGUG